CGAAAAUAUGGAGGAGGUGCUCAAGAGUUGGGCGUCCCUUAACUUGCCAUGUUUGGAUAAGCCUUGACUAGGUAUUUGACCUAGACAAGGACUCUAUCAUAUCUCUCUAUAUAAGAUGAGUUUCUUCAUGAAAUAUGAAGGAGAGAUAGGUUUUUGAGAGGCCUUUCUGCCAUCCAAAAAUCAGAGAGAAAUACCUUUGGGUCAUGGAGAUAUAAAAGACACAAGUUUGGGCAUCUAGAGAGAAAAACGUGAAGAAGAAGAGGGUCUUCUUCUAGGGUUUUUAUUUUCAUAUCUUUCCUCCUUCCAUCUUGAGUUUCCUGAGAGCGUCUCAGAUCUGAAACUCCUCCUUCUACUUUCCAUCUUUGGAAGAGUCUAAAUCAAAAAGAAGGAGGCACCUGAUCAACCAUCAAAGAAGGAUCAGCGCAGUACUAGCAUACUGUGCUGAUUUCCUGAAGCAGGACUUCUGAUCGAGAUUCGUGGGCUCGUGUGGACGACUCCUAGAGG
This 504-nucleotide long non-coding RNA is filed under the name Elaeis guineensis (African oil palm). RNAcentral's name for it is "long non-coding RNA (EGUI_LNC055569)". Lineage: Eukaryota; Viridiplantae; Streptophyta; Magnoliopsida; Arecales; Arecaceae. The record is from RNAcentral.